AUGGAGCCGAAGGAACCAUUGUUCCACAGCCGGCUGAUCCCCCCGAACGUCUUCAAGGUUUCCGUGGCCAGUGUCAAACCAGGCCAUGAGAAUUUUCCUCCUCCAAUACUAGUGGAGGAUGACGACGAGACACCGCGGCGGCUUGGUGAUUGUUGCAUUGGGUGGGUCCUGUUGUGGCCAAAGAGUCUGCUUCGUCUAGAGGCGGCCGGGAGCACACCCACGAGCACACAGCCUCAGCAAGGUAUGAACAUCAACACCCCACCUACCCAAUUAGCGUCGGGUGUCGGGUUGGCUGAUAGCGGACGGGGUAAGGAGGCUCCAUUAGUCGCUGAUGACGUCACCAUGGAUGAGGAUGAGGACGACGAUGGCGCUGAACAGUAUGUCUAUACUGGCGCCGCCUCAGGGUUUGAGCGUCAUGAGUCGGUGCCUAAAUUGCCGUCUCAACGUAUUUUGGACGACCUUCCGAUAGUAAAUAAGUCUAGGAAGAGAGCGAGGAAAGGCAAAAAAGCUGAUUCUAUGAUCCAGCCGCCUCAGCAGCCUCGGCUUCAGGACCGUAUAGAUAUCCCCGAUGCAGAUAAAUGGCAUAUCCCCAAUCAACCAAUCCUACCUGCAACAGCGCUACGGGUCAGAUUCGGCGAUCUAAGGAGACUUCAUGACGAUGUGCUGCGGGUAGAGAAAGGCCUCAUCGCCUCGAAAGAUCCAGGAUACCCACUCUAUGUGGUUAAUGUUCCGCGGCAAAUGUCGUACGUCGACAGCUUCCCCGUGGAUAAGUUCUUCCUCCGAUUCGAUUACAUAUUCGACAUGUUUCACGUGAAGAAGCUGGAUUUUACGUUUGCCCGCCUUUAUGCCUUGCACAUGAACUACAUCAUUGGGGUUGAGCAGAUAUCUCAUAUCUGUGUCGCUGACCCGUACUACAUGCACGAGGGCUUCUUGGGAGUCUGCGCAAAGCACCGUGAAUACGCGAGGGAUUACAUCGUCAGUUUCAUGCUCGCCAAUAAGGACAAGGAGGCGAUUCUCAUGCCUUAUCAUCCCGUGUAA
This 1038-nucleotide ribosomal RNA is filed under the name Triticum aestivum (bread wheat). RNAcentral describes it as "partial small subunit ribosomal RNA". Lineage: Eukaryota; Viridiplantae; Streptophyta; Magnoliopsida; Poales; Poaceae. The record is from RNAcentral.